This 253-nucleotide ribosomal RNA is filed under the name uncultured bacterium. Its description in RNAcentral is "partial 16S ribosomal RNA". It matches the Rfam family "Bacterial small subunit ribosomal RNA", at positions 524 to 776 of the family's 1533-position model. The record is from RNAcentral.
UACGUAGGGUGCGAGCGUUGUCCGGAAUUAUUGGGCGUAAAGAGCUCGUAGGCGGUCUGUCGCGUCGAAUGUGAAAACCCGGGGCUCAACUCCGGGCUUGCAUUCGAUACGGGCAGGCUAGAGUUCGGUAGGGGAGUCUGGAAUUCCUGGUGUAGCGGUGAAAUGCGCAGAUAUCAGGAGGAACACCGGUGGCGAAGGCGGGACUCUGGGCCGAUACUGACGCUGAGGAGCGAAAGCUAGGGGAGCAAACGGG